RNAcentral lists this long non-coding RNA (1007 nucleotides) under Homo sapiens (human). Its description in RNAcentral is "HSALNT0236178". Lineage: Eukaryota; Metazoa; Chordata; Mammalia; Primates; Hominidae. The record is from RNAcentral.
UCCCUCUCCCUCUGUUUCCACGGUCUCCCUCUCAUGCCGAGCCGAAGCUGGACUGUACUGCUGCCAUCUCGGCUCACUGCAACCUCCCUGCCUGAUUCUCCUGCCUCACCCUGCCGAGUGCCUGCGAUUGCAGGCGCGCGCCGCCACGCCUGACUGGUUUUCGUAUUUUUUUGGUGGAGACGGGUUUCGCUGUGUUGGCCGGGCUGGUCUCCAGCUCCUAACCGCGAGUGAUCCACCAGCCUCGGCCUCCCGAGGUGCCGAGAUUGCAGACAGAGUCUGGUUCACUCAGUGCUCAAUGGCGCGCAGGCUGGAGUGCAGUGGCGUGAUCUCGGCUGGCUACAACCUCCACCUCCCAGCCGCCUGCCUUGGCCUCCCAAAGUGCCGAGAUUGCAGCCUCUGCCCGGCCGCUACCCCGUCUGGGAAGUGAGGAGCGUCUCCGCCUGGCCGCCCAUCGUCUGGGAUGUGAGGAGCCCCUUUGCCUGGCUGCCCAGUCUGGAAAGUGAGGAGCGUCUCUGCCCGGCCGCCAUCCCAUCUAGGAAGUGAGGAGCGCCUCUUCCCGGCCGCCAUCCCACCUAGGAAGUGAGGAGCGUCUCUGCCCGGCCGCCCAUCGUCUGAGAUGUGGGGAGCACCUCUGCCCCGCCGCCCCAUCUGGGAUGUGAGGAGCGCCUCGGCCCGGCCGCGACCCUGUCUGGGAGGUGAGGAGCGUCUCUGCCCGGCCGCCCUGUCUGAGAAGUGAGGAGCCCCUCCGCCCGGCUGCCACCCCGUCUGGGAAGUGAGGAGCGUCUCCGCCCGGCAGCCGCCCCGUCCGGGAGGGAGGUGGGGGAGUCAGCCCCCCGCCCGGCCAGCCGCCCCGUCCGGGAGGUGAGGGGCGCCUCUGCCCGGCCGCCCCUACUGGGAAGUGAGGAGCCCCUCUGCCCGGCAGCCACCCCGUCUGGGAGGUGUGCCCAGCGGCUCAUUGAGAACGGGCCAUGAUGACAAUGGCGGUUUUGUGGAAUAGAAAGGGGGGA